AACCCAUGGUGAGGGCAUCUUCGCAACAGAUCCUUGUAUGUCUCUCAUGCAUCGUAGACUGUUUCUAAAUCCAUCUGCAUAAAAGAGGAGAUAUCAUUACAUAAUUU
This is a non-coding RNA of Gossypium hirsutum (cotton), 107 nucleotides long. NCBI's taxonomy places the organism in Eukaryota, Viridiplantae, Streptophyta, Magnoliopsida, Malvales, Malvaceae. The record is from Rfam.